This 449-nucleotide ribosomal RNA is filed under the name uncultured bacterium. RNAcentral describes it as "partial 16S ribosomal RNA". It matches the Rfam family "Bacterial small subunit ribosomal RNA", at positions 29 to 523 of the family's 1533-position model. The record is from RNAcentral.
AACGAACGCUGGCGGCAUGCCUAACACAUGCAAGUCGAACGAGAUCUUCGGGUCUAGUGGCGCACGGGUGCGUAACGCGUGGGAAUCUGCCCUUUGGUUCGGAAUAACAGUUGGAAACGACUGCUAAUACCGGAUGAUGACGAAAGUCCAAAGAUUUAUCGCCAGAGGAUGAGCCCGCGUAGGAUUAGCUAGUUGGUGUGGUAAAGGCGCACCAAGGCGACGAUCCUUAGCUGGUCUGAGAGGAUGAUCAGCCACACUGGGACUGAGACACGGCCCAGACUCCUACGGGAGGCAGCAGUGGGGAAUAUUGGACAAUGGGCGAAAGCCUGAUCCAGCAAUGCCGCGUGAGUGAUGAAGGCCUUAGGGUUGUAAAGCUCUUUUGCCAGGGAAGAUAAUGACUGUACCUGGAGAAUAAGCCCCGGCUAACUUCGUGCCAGCAGCCGCCGCAG